Molecule: ribosomal RNA, 449 nt
Filed under: uncultured bacterium
Lineage: Bacteria
Description: bacterial SSU rRNA
Rfam family: Bacterial small subunit ribosomal RNA
Source: RNAcentral
AGUGGGGAAUAUUGCACAAUGGGGGAAACCCUGAUGCAGCCAUGCCGCGUGUGUGAAGAAGGCCUUCGGGUUGUAAAGCACUUUCAGUAGGGAGGAAGGUAGUGUAGUUAACAUCUGCAUUAUUUGACGUUACCUACAGAAGAAGCACCGGCUAACUCCGUGCCAGCAGCCGCGGUAAUACGGAGGGUGCGAGCGUUAAUCGGAAUUACUGGGCGUAAAGCGCAUGCAGGCGGCCUGUUAAGUCAGAUGUGAAAGCCCGGGGCUUAACCUCGGAAUUGCAUUUGAAACUGGCAGGCUAGAGUCUUGUAGAGGGGGGUAGGAAUUUCAGGUGUAGCGGUGAAAUGCGUAGAGAUCUGAAGGAAUACCAGUGGCGAAGGCGGCCCCCUGGACAAAGACUGACGCUCAGAUGCGAAAGCGUGGGGAGCAAACAGGAUUAGAUACCCUGGUAG